This 364-nucleotide long non-coding RNA is filed under the name Lathyrus oleraceus (garden pea). RNAcentral's name for it is "Pisum sativum (pea) long non-coding RNA (PSAT_LNC007169)". Lineage: Eukaryota; Viridiplantae; Streptophyta; Magnoliopsida; Fabales; Fabaceae. The record is from RNAcentral.
GACCAGAAGAUGGUGAUCAUUUCCCCAGCAGAUCCCCUUGCCUCAGCUUGGCAUUCUACCCAGCAUUUCGCAUCCCUACAUGUAGAAUCAUAUUGCAUUGCAUCCUUCCAAAUCGCGUAGCAUUUCCAUUCCCUUGCCUCAGCUUGGCAUUCUACCCAGCAUUUCGCAUCCCUACAUGUAGAAUCAUAUUGCAUUGCAUCCUUCCAAAUCGCGUAGCAUUUCCAUUUUCAUGGAGCAUUACGCCAUUGAAAAAUUCAUACAUACGCAUGUAAGCAUAAAACAUUCUCGGUAUCCCAAGUGAUAAGCUAGAAGUUGUUUCCAAUACUCAGACUGAAGAUUGUUCAUGACUUACCUUUGUUAUCCC